AUUGAUCUUGCGGUCAGGUUCAUUUCGUAUAUUUUCCGUUGGCCAGCUUAAUUGGCCCAAAACGGUGAUGGCCAUUUGAUAGAGGCCACCAUAAGCAGUUUUUAAUUAGGAUCGACUGAGUUUCGAGAGCGGACCCCUCUAACAAAGGAUGCCGAUGGAGCAGCACCAGCAGCAGCUGCAAAAAGAAAAAAAGCCUAAGGAAUCCAAACGCUCAUAACUCACUCAACUGGCUUUGAUUUAUUUGGGGCAUGGCCGAAUUAGCAUACAAUUAGAGCAAAUGCGCGGCGGCUUAUGCAAUUUAUGAAAUAUUUAUGCCGGCCCAGGUAUAUUUCCCUAGGAUUAUGCAAAUUGCUUUGCGGCAACAAUGUAACUAUGGUUUCUUUGCAUUAAAAUUAUCCGUAAGCCAGUCUUUGAUGGCCACAU
Molecule: non-coding RNA, 423 nt
Organism: Drosophila melanogaster (fruit fly)
Lineage: Eukaryota; Metazoa; Arthropoda; Insecta; Diptera; Drosophilidae
Source: Ensembl